AAUGUGCAUGAAGUGAUAUACCAAGUAUCUAGAGUAUACUUAUAUAUCAUAUAAGUAUAUAUGAUAUAUACUUAUUUAUAUAUCAUAUAAAUUAAGUAUUAAUAUAUUUAUUUAGAAGAAGGAGGAGUAGUAAAGAAGUGAUGGGCUUUUUUUUUUUUUUUUUUUUUUACUCCAUCAGGGCCAAGUUCACAUCUCAUUGCCUUCAGGCUGCUGCCCUGCCCUGUCCUUGGGGAGCAGGGGGCUCUGGAUGAGGCUCAGCACCAGUGGGGGCGCAGCUUAUCGGGUUUUCUCUGGGGCACGUUUUCUCCUUCAAUUAUUUUCUCCUCCUGGAAAGAGAAAACGGAAUGGGAAGGGGGAAAAGAGGGCAGGUGGGGUGGUGCGGGCUCUGUCAGGGAGAGGCAUGAGGAGCAGGGAGGGAUAUGACCCAUUUCUCUGCUCAUCUCCGUGUUUAUACACAGGGACAGGUGUGCUGAUUUCCUCCUGGAUUUAACGAAGGGAAGAUGAGCAGGACCCAGAUAACUGACCUGGUUUAAAGCACUUGGCGGAUUUUAACAACAAAAAAAAAAAGGAGUCCCUCUGGAUUUGAGAAACUUCAGCUGAAGUUUUACCACUUGCAGCAAAUUUGAACCUCACCAGCUCCUGCCACUCGCAGCUGGGGUUUCCCCUUCCCUGCCACCACGCAGGCAUGGGGGGCUCAGGUGCCUCCUCCCAAAUAUUUCUGCAGGGACCUGAACGGCUUUGGGAGCCUGGGCCAUGUGCUACCCAGCUCUGCCUCCUCCUCGAAGCAGGAUGGGAAGUGUCAGCUGCUGGGGAUAAAAGGGAAGAAAUUCUCGGUCCCAUGGCUGAAUGCAGGUUUGCAGUGAUAACCCUACAAGCCCCUGGAGAAUCCACACCCAGCACAAGUGAGACUUCAAAAAAAAUAAUAAUAAUUCGGAUCCAGCUCUGAUUUAC
RNAcentral lists this long non-coding RNA (951 nucleotides) under Anas platyrhynchos platyrhynchos (common mallard). RNAcentral describes it as "lncRNA (ENSAPLG00000026174.1)". The record is from RNAcentral. Lineage: Eukaryota; Metazoa; Chordata; Aves; Anseriformes; Anatidae.